Molecule: small nuclear RNA, 107 nt
Organism: Ochotona curzoniae (black-lipped pika)
Lineage: Eukaryota; Metazoa; Chordata; Mammalia; Lagomorpha; Ochotonidae
Source: RefSeq, a predicted model, not a curated record
GCGCUCGCUUCGGCAGCACAUGUACCAAAACUGGAAUGAUACAAAGAAGAUGAGCACGGCCCCUGCGCAAGGAUGACACAAAAAGUCAUGAAGCAUCCCAUAUUUUU